GACGAACGCUGGCGGCGUGCUUAACACAUGCAAGUCGAACGGAAAGGCCCUGCUUUUGUGGGGUGCUCGAGUGGCGAACGGGUGAGUAACACGUGAGUAACCUGCCCUUGACUUUGGGAUAACUUCAGGAAACUGGGGCUAAUACCGGAUAGGAGCUCCUGCUGCAUGGUGGGGGUUGGAAAGUUUCGGCGGUUGGGGAUGGACUCGCGGCUUAUCCGCUUGUUGGUGGGGUAGUGGCUUACCAAGGCUUUGACGGGUAGCCGGCCUGAGAGGGUGACCGGCCACAUUGGGACUGAGAUACGGCCCAGACUCCUACGGGAGGCAGCAGUGGGGAAUAUUGCACAAUGGGCGGAAGCCUGAUGCAGAAACGCCGCGUGCGGGAUGACGGCCUUCGGGUUGUAAACCGCUUUCGCCUGUGACGAAGCGUGAGUGACGGUAAUGGGUAAAGAAGCACCGGCUAACUACGUG
RNAcentral lists this ribosomal RNA (468 nucleotides) under uncultured bacterium. RNAcentral describes it as "partial 16S ribosomal RNA". It matches the Rfam family "Bacterial small subunit ribosomal RNA", at positions 28 to 507 of the family's 1533-position model. The record is from RNAcentral.